RNAcentral lists this long non-coding RNA (602 nucleotides) under Homo sapiens (human). Its description in RNAcentral is "long non-coding RNA NONHSAT156626.1". The record is from RNAcentral. Lineage: Eukaryota; Metazoa; Chordata; Mammalia; Primates; Hominidae.
GAUCCAGGCUUUAUGAGUGGCUGCGACCAUGCGGUCCAAUUAGUAUGGUGUCACCAAUAUAUGGAUCCAUGCGAUUGAUUAUCUGUGGAGUGUCCGGAUGGUCCAGGACCCUUCAGAUUAUAUUACGAUGGAGAACAGGAAAAUUAACCAAAACCUGGGCAAGACUGCGAAUGUGUGCUACUAUCCAUCCCAGUUCUGGAGGCCGGAGUUGGAAAUCAGUUUCACUGGGCACACAUGGAGGUGUUUGAAGGGCUGCCCGUGCCAGAGGCUCUCAGGGAGAAUCCCUUCCUUGUCUGUUCCAGCUCUACCUCCUCCUCUGCUGGCCCUUUCUCUUCUUCUUCUCAUGGUCUCUGGCAUCUGGGAGAGUGGUGGGGCUGAGCUGUUGUUCUAGAAGAAAAAAGGAUGUCUUGUCCUGUGUGAACUGGAACAGCGCUUAGAAAUCGAGGAGCGUGGCCCUGGGAACAGAGGCUGUGUGCUGUUGUUUUUGCUUCCUCAUUAAUGAGCAUGGGCCUUCAGUGAGCUCCUUUCCCUUGCUGGCCUUCAUUUGUAAAAUGUUGGCUGACGGCUAAGGGUGUUUAUUCCUCUAAAAUCACCUAAUUAGA